GGGCGGGUAGCUCAGAUGGGAGAGCGUUGCCUUCGCAAGGCAGAGGCCGCGGGUUCAAAUCCCGCCCAGUCCAC
Molecule: transfer RNA, 74 nt
Filed under: Methanobacterium sp. PtaB.Bin024
Lineage: Archaea; Methanobacteriati; Methanobacteriota; Methanobacteria; Methanobacteriales; Methanobacteriaceae
Description: tRNA-Ala
Rfam family: tRNA
About the family: Transfer RNA (tRNA) molecules are approximately 80 nucleotides in length. Their secondary structure includes four short double-helical elements and three loops (D, anti-codon, and T loops). Further hydrogen bonds mediate the characteristic L-shaped molecular structure. tRNAs have two regions of fundamental functional importance: the anti-codon, which is responsible for specific mRNA codon recognition, and the 3' end, to which the tRNAs corresponding amino acid is attached (by aminoacyl-tRNA synthetases). tRNAs cope with the degeneracy of the genetic code in two manners: having more than one tRNA (with a specific anti-codon) for a particular amino acid; and 'wobble' base-pairing, i.e. permitting non-standard base-pairing at the 3rd anti-codon position.
Source: RNAcentral